RNAcentral lists this ribosomal RNA (440 nucleotides) under uncultured Pseudochrobactrum sp. RNAcentral's name for it is "bacterial SSU rRNA". It matches the Rfam family "Bacterial small subunit ribosomal RNA", at positions 338 to 795 of the family's 1533-position model. The record is from RNAcentral. Lineage: Bacteria; Pseudomonadati; Pseudomonadota; Alphaproteobacteria; Hyphomicrobiales; Brucellaceae.
CCUACGGGAGGCAGCAGUGGGGAAUAUUGGACAAUGGGCGCAAGCCUGAUCCAGCCAUGCCGCGUGAGUGAUGAAGGCCCUAGGGUUGUAAAGCUCUUUCACCGGUGAAGAUAAUGACGGUAACCGGAGAAGAAGCCCCGGCUAACUUCGUGCCAGCAGCCGCGGUAAUACGAAGGGGGCUAGCGUUGUUCGGAUUUACUGGGCGUAAAGCGCACGUAGGCGGACUUUUAAGUCAGGGGUGAAAUCCCGGGGCUCAACCCCGGAACUGCCUUUGAUACUGGAAGUCUUGAGUAUGGAAGAGGUAAGUGGAAUUGCGAGUGUAGAGGUGAAAUUCGUAGAUAUUCGCAGGAACACCAGUGGCGAAGGCGGCUUACUGGUCCAUUACUGACGCUGAGGUGCGAAAGCGUGGGGAGCAAACAGGAUUAGAUACCCCAGUAGUC